AUGAAGCAUGCAGGCCUGGGUGAAGGAAUACCUCCUGACAACUCCGGGAAUGAUGGCUAUGCUAAUAAUGGGUAUAGUGCCCGUGAAGAAGAAAAUGAGACACUCACUGAAAAUCUGAGAAGCAAAGUAACUGCUAUAAAAUCUUUUUCCAUUGAAAUAGGCCAUGAAGUUAAAACCCAAAAUAAAUUAUUAGCUGUAAUGGAUUCACAAUUUGAUUCUACAACUGGAUUUCUAGGCUUCUUUACAAGCCUCUAUGUAAAGCACAGGCUGGUGAGGGCCCCAGGAAGAGCAGCACCGCCCUCGGCACAGGCCCCUACUCCAAGUCCUGUGCAGGAGCAGGUCUUGCCCAGCGCAGCAGCUCUGCACCUCUGUGGCACCGCUCUGCCAAGAGGGAAGGUGCAGGCCCUGCAGCCCAUCGCCUUGGAUCUGAAGACCAGCCCUGUGGGGCUGCUAAGUCAUGAAACUGGCCUCAUGGAGAUUUCAUAA
RNAcentral lists this long non-coding RNA (486 nucleotides) under Homo sapiens (human). RNAcentral describes it as "non-protein coding lnc-GIMAP5-7:2". The record is from RNAcentral. Lineage: Eukaryota; Metazoa; Chordata; Mammalia; Primates; Hominidae.